GGCUACUCGGUUAUAAUCCUGUGCU
Molecule: microRNA, 25 nt
Filed under: Tribolium castaneum (red flour beetle)
Lineage: Eukaryota; Metazoa; Arthropoda; Insecta; Coleoptera; Tenebrionidae
Description: tca-miR-3866-3p
Source: miRBase by way of RNAcentral